GUGCGCUCCACGUCAGAUUUUCUACACCGCCCACAGUGCACAAAGAAUUUCUCUAUUAUAAAAGCCCGGCCCCCUGGGCUACUUUUAUUCUGAAGUCGGCAAAUCCAUUACUGACUUCAACCAUGAAUUUUGAAAAAAAAUUAAGAUCAAAAUAAAGGAGAUCUCAAUCCCCAGCUCGAUCCUCAUUACCAAGGGAUAAGGCCAUCCAAUGGUAGCCGAUGCGAGG
Molecule: long non-coding RNA, 226 nt
Filed under: Elaeis guineensis (African oil palm)
Lineage: Eukaryota; Viridiplantae; Streptophyta; Magnoliopsida; Arecales; Arecaceae
Description: long non-coding RNA (EGUI_LNC081608)
Source: RNAcentral